CCUACGGGGGGCUGCAGUGGGGAAUAUUGGACAAUGGGGGCAACCCUGAUCCAGCCAUGCCGCGUGUGUGAAGAAGGCCCUCGGGUUGUAAAGCACUUUCAGUGAGGAAGAACGCCUGGUGGUUAAUACCCAUCAGGAAAGACAUCACUCACAGAAGAAGCACCGGCUAACUCCGUGCCAGCAGCCGCGGUAAUACGGAGGGUGCGAGCGUUAAUCGGAAUUACUGGGCGUAAAGCGCGCGUAGGUGGCUUGAUAAGCCGGUUGUGAAAGCCCCGGGCUCAACCUGGGAACGGCAUCCGGAACUGUCAAGCUAGAGUGCAGGAGAGGAAGGUAGAAUUCCCGGUGUAGCGGUGAAAUGCGUAGAGAUCGGGAGGAAUACCAGUGGCGAAGGCGGCCUUCUGGACUGACACUGACACUGGGGUGCGAAAGCGUGGGUAGCAAACAGGAUUAGAUACCCUAGUAGUC
Molecule: ribosomal RNA, 465 nt
Filed under: Vreelandella stevensii
Lineage: Bacteria; Pseudomonadati; Pseudomonadota; Gammaproteobacteria; Oceanospirillales; Halomonadaceae
Description: partial 16S ribosomal RNA
Rfam family: Bacterial small subunit ribosomal RNA
Source: RNAcentral